CCCUAAGUUUAGCUUCUAAUAUUCUAAUGUAANCCAUCCCCUAAUAAAUACAAGUAAAACAUNUNGGCAGUUUAGUAAGUGUGACUAAAAAACUAAUCUAAAGCUAUAAAUUAAGUACCGCAAGGGAAUAAUGAAAUAGAANUUAAUUAAAACUAANGCAUAAA
RNAcentral lists this ribosomal RNA (164 nucleotides) under Leptopelis concolor (Witu forest treefrog). RNAcentral describes it as "partial 16S ribosomal RNA". The record is from RNAcentral. Lineage: Eukaryota; Metazoa; Chordata; Amphibia; Anura; Arthroleptidae.